AGUGGCGCACGGGUGAGUAACACGUGACUAACCUACCCUGGAGUGGGGGAUAACUGAGGGAAACCUUAGCUAAUACCGCAUAACACCUACGGGUCAAAGGAGCAAUUCGCUUCAGGAGGGGGUCGCGGCCGAUUAGUUAGUUGGCAGGGUAAUGGCCUACCAAGACGAUGAUCGGUAUCCGGCCUGAGAGGGCGCACGGACACACUGGAACUGAAACACGGUCCAGACUCCUACGGGAGGCAGCAGUGGGGAAUUUUGCGCAAUGGGGGAAACCCUGACGCAGCAACGCCGCGUGGAGGAUGAAGUCCUUCGGGACGUAAACUCCUUUCGAUCGGGACGAUUAUGACGGUACCGGAAGAAGAAGCCCCGGCUAACUUCGUGCCAGCAGCCGCGGUAAUACGAGGGGGGCAAGCGUUGUUCGGAAUUAUUGGGCGUAAAGGGUGCGUAGGCGGUCUGGUAAGUCUUAUGUGAAAUCUUCGGGCUCAACUCGAAGUCUGCAUAAGAAACUGCCAGGCUUGAGUAUGGGAGAGGUGAGUGGAAUUCCUGGUGUAGCGGUGAAAUGCGUAGAUAUCAGGAGGAACACCUGUGGCGAAAGCGGCUCACUGGACCAUAACUGACGCUGAUGCACGAAAGCUAGGGGAGCAAACAGGAUUAGAUACCCUGGUAGUCCUAGCCCUAAACGAUCAGGACUUGGGGUGCCACCCGUUCGGGUGUCGUCCCGGAGCUAACGCGUUAAGUCCUGCACCUGGGGAGUACGGUCGCAAGACUGAAACUCAAAGGAAUUGACGGGGGCCCGCACAAGCGGUGGAACAUGUGGUUCAAUUCGA
This 827-nucleotide ribosomal RNA is filed under the name uncultured bacterium. Its description in RNAcentral is "bacterial SSU rRNA". It matches the Rfam family "Bacterial small subunit ribosomal RNA", at positions 94 to 954 of the family's 1533-position model. The record is from RNAcentral.